CAGUUAUGGAUGUGAUGAGUUACAACCAACACAGAAUCUCCAGGCCAAUGCAGGAUUCCUCUAGGUGGAACUUAAGGCCCAGAACCUAGGAGGCCAGAGGUGCUGAGCUUUCAGACCAACACCUCCCUUACCUGGUCCUUCAUGUCCAUGCCAGAAUUAGGAAUUCUCCCAGACGCCUGCGACAGAACCUCAGGGCUGGAAAAGCUGCAGACACCACCCAGUUUCUCCUUUACUUGACCUGUAGGUAGAGCACUUGAAGUACACAAGGACAGAAAUAGCAUCAAAAGAUGUCAUGAACUUGCCAGCCUCGCUACCCUCCCUGACAUUGAUCACUAAUGCUGACCGUUCCCCUCACAGAAGAGUGAAGACCUGGAGAAGCAGAACACAGCUCUGCUCAAGGAGAUCAAGCAUCUCACAGAGGAGGUGAAGUACUUCACAUCAGUGCUGGGCAGCCAUGAGCCCCUGUGCUCAGUGCUGACCACCAGCACACCCUUGUCCCCAAAGGUGGUCCACCAUGCCAUGUUUUCACCAGCUCUGCUUCGAGCCCUGAGCUUCCGGAAAGCAGAACCCCCGAUCCCCGAUGCUCUAGGAGGCCUCAGAAGGGGCACAUGGACUGUGGUCAGGCUGCCCUCAUCCUUCAGAGCUGUCUCUCCAUCUGGAGACCCAGUGACAAAGGCCCAGAUGGGGACUGAACACAGGACUGCAGUGGACAGAGGGGUCAGUGUGUGCUGGACCUCCAAGUGGGUAGAAGCCCAAGGCAAUCAGUGAGAAAUGGGAUGCCUGAG
Sciurus carolinensis (gray squirrel) is the source of this 785-nucleotide long non-coding RNA. RefSeq lists it as uncharacterized. The transcript is spliced from 3 exons. NCBI's taxonomy places the organism in Eukaryota, Metazoa, Chordata, Mammalia, Rodentia, Sciuridae. The record is from RefSeq and is a predicted model, not a curated record.